UAACCCAAAGGACUUGGCGGUGCCCCAAACCCACCUAGAGGAGCCUGUUCUACAACCGAUAACCCCCGUUAAACCUCACCACUCCUAGCCAACCCCGCCUAUAUACCGCCGUCGCCAGCUUACCCUAUGAAGGCCCAACAGUAAGCCCAAAGAGUACAACUCAAAACGUCAGGUCGAGGUGUAGCGCACGAAGUGGGAAGAAAUGGGCUACAUUUUCUCAAC
This 222-nucleotide ribosomal RNA is filed under the name Megalops atlanticus (tarpon). RNAcentral describes it as "partial 12S ribosomal RNA". Lineage: Eukaryota; Metazoa; Chordata; Actinopteri; Elopiformes; Megalopidae. The record is from RNAcentral.